GUCUAUAUGAAGAUAAACAUAGUCUAACGCUGCUCACUGACAAAUGUUUAAGAGCCGCAGUAUUUUGACUGUGCGAAGGUAGCAUAAUAGAUUGUCUUUUAAUUGGAGGCUUGAAUGAAUGGUUGGACAAAGGAUCAUCUGUUUCUUAUAUAAAUAUUGAAUUUAACUUUUAAGUGAAAAGGCUUAAAUUUUUCUAAUAGACGAUAAGACCCUAUAAAUCUUUACAAUUAUUUUGUAUUAAAUUUUUAUUUAUCUUUAUAUAAAAUUUCUUAUAAAAACUUGUUGCGCUGGGGCGGCGUAGAUAUAUAAAAAAACUGUCUGUAUUCUUCAUUCAGAAAUAGUUGAUUAGUUUUACUUGAUCCUUUAUUUAGAUUAAAAGACUAAGAUACUUUAGGGAUAACAGCGUUAUUUUUUUUGAGAGUUCUUAUCGAAAAAAAAGUUUGCGACCUCGAUGUUGAAUUAAAGUUUUCUUAUGGUGUAGCAGCUAUAAAGAAAAGUCUGUUCGACUUUUAAAACUUUACAUGAUUUGAGUUCAGACCGGUGUAAG
Molecule: ribosomal RNA, 547 nt
Filed under: Catapagurus tenuilamina
Lineage: Eukaryota; Metazoa; Arthropoda; Malacostraca; Decapoda; Paguridae
Description: partial 16S ribosomal RNA
Rfam family: Bacterial large subunit ribosomal RNA
Source: RNAcentral